AGUGAACGCUGGCGGUAUGCCUAACACAUGCAAGUCGAACGGCAACACAGGAAGAUCGUGCUCUUACGGGUGGCGAGGGACGGACGGGUGAGAAAUAGAUAAGAAACUACUUAUUCGGGGGUGAUAACGGAGAGAAGCUGACGCUAAUAGCGCAUACAACCUACGGGUGAAAUCAGGAGAGCUUGGGACCUUGGGCGAUUGAAUUAGCCGGUGUCGGAUUAGCUAGUUGGUUGGGUAACGGCCCACCAAGGCGACGAUACGUAGCUGGUCUGAGAGGAUGAUCAGCCACACUGGAACUGAGACACGGUCCAGACUCCUACGGGAGGCAGCAGUGGGGAAUCUUCCGCAAUGGGCGCAAGCCUGACCGAGCAACGCCGCGUGGGUGAAGAAGGCCUUCGGGUUGUAAAGCCCUUUUGUUGGGAAAGAACAGAUGUAGGUUAAUCUCUCGCCGUCUUGACGGUACCCAAACAAUAAGCCCCGGCUAACUUCGUG
RNAcentral lists this ribosomal RNA (492 nucleotides) under uncultured bacterium. RNAcentral describes it as "partial 16S ribosomal RNA". It matches the Rfam family "Bacterial small subunit ribosomal RNA", at positions 29 to 507 of the family's 1533-position model. The record is from RNAcentral.